This 376-nucleotide long non-coding RNA is filed under the name Mus spicilegus (steppe mouse). RNAcentral's name for it is "lncRNA (ENSMSIG00000009507.1)". The record is from RNAcentral. Lineage: Eukaryota; Metazoa; Chordata; Mammalia; Rodentia; Muridae.
UUCAAGAUGGAGGAAAAUGAACUGUCCCUGUCCGUGAAGGAACAUACAAUCUAUUGGAAGAUAUAGACCCUGGGAACUCCUGACACCCACUUCAAAAACUGUAUGUAACAAGAACCGAGGGAACAGGAACUCCACACAAGAAAGGGGUCUUUGAGUAAUGCAUCUUAUAAAAUGGCUCUCGAGGGAAAGAUCAUACCAGCUGCAGAUGGGCCUGUUCCAGAGGGCACAAGAUGAGCUGGGAAGCUCAAAUGAUACCUGCAUGUGGAGGUGGAGGCUGAAGAGGAGAGAACCCUGACUCACUUCCCAUCACCUCGCUGCCCCCUCCCCCCUUUAUUUCCCCAAGGCUAAAUAAAUAAUACACUUAAAACGUGAAGCA